GCAGAUCCAAGGUUGCGAUGCUCGCUACAAACAGGAUGACCACUGGAUCAUCUUUUCUUGCGAGCGGGCCAAGGUCUGAGUAUUUCAAUCCCCCUCGACCGACUCUUGCCGGAUCCGAACACCAUCGUUCGAGCCGCGUACCAGAAAGUCAAGCAGCGCCAUCUGAUUUCUUCCUUCGUGGCGGAUUCAUCCCGAAGACCCCGUUCAGACGGGUGAGGGACGUGGUGACAUGCUUUUGGGAAGCGUGGCGGGGAUUGGGUGAUCGAGUCCAUCUUGUCUCGAUGCUGUCAUCGACGAGAUCGGUUACCCUUAAGCUCAAUUUGCGGCGCACCAAGCAUGAGCACUCAUUUGAGUUGUUCUGGUGUAACUCGAUUCAGACUACUCUGGAUCUGC
This 393-nucleotide RNase P RNA is filed under the name Fomitiporia mediterranea MF3/22. RNAcentral describes it as "Nuclear RNase P". It matches the Rfam family "Nuclear RNase P". Rfam says of the family: Ribonuclease P (RNase P) is a ubiquitous endoribonuclease, found in archaea, bacteria and eukarya as well as chloroplasts and mitochondria. The record is from Rfam by way of RNAcentral. Lineage: Eukaryota; Fungi; Basidiomycota; Agaricomycetes; Hymenochaetales; Hymenochaetaceae.